CGCGUGAGGAACCUGCCUCAAAGAGGGGGACAACAGUUGGAAACGGCUGCUAAUACCGCAUAAGCCCACGGCUCGGCAUCGAGCAGAGGGAAAAGGAGCAAUCCGCUUUGAGAUGGCCUCGCGUCCGAUUAGCUAGUUGGUGAGGUAAUGGCCCACCAAGGCGACGAUCGGUAGCCGGACUGAGAGGUUGAACGGCCACAUUGGGACUGAGACACGGCCCAGACUCCUACGGGAGGCAGCAGUGGGGAAUAUUGCACAAUGGGGGAAACCCUGAUGCAGCGACGCCGCGUGGAGGAAGAAGGUCUUCGGAUUGUAAACUCCUGUUGUUGAGGAAGAU
This 337-nucleotide ribosomal RNA is filed under the name uncultured bacterium. Its description in RNAcentral is "bacterial SSU rRNA". It matches the Rfam family "Bacterial small subunit ribosomal RNA", at positions 114 to 449 of the family's 1533-position model. The record is from RNAcentral.